RNAcentral lists this ribosomal RNA (410 nucleotides) under uncultured bacterium. RNAcentral describes it as "bacterial SSU rRNA". It matches the Rfam family "Bacterial small subunit ribosomal RNA", at positions 101 to 507 of the family's 1533-position model. The record is from RNAcentral.
AACGGGUGAGUAAUAUAUCGGAACGUGCCCAGUCGUAGGGGGAUAACGUAGCGAAAGCUACGCUAAUACCGCAUACGAUCUACGGAUGAAAGCGGGGGAUCGCAAGACCUCGCGCGAUUGGAGCGGCCGAUAUCAGAUUAGGUAGUUGGUGAGGUAAAGGCUCACCAAGCCGACGAUCUGUAGCUGGUCUGAGAGGACGACCAGCCACACUGGGACUGAGACACGGCCCAGACUCCUACGGGAGGCAGCAGUGGGAAUUUUGGACAAUGGGCGCAAGCCUGAUCCAGCAAUGCCGCGUGCAGGAUGAAGGCCUUCGGGUUGUAAACUGCUUUUGUACGGAACGAAACGGUGAGCUCUAAUACAGUUUGCUAAUGACGGUACCGUAAGAAUAAGCACCGGCUAACUACGUG